Molecule: long non-coding RNA, 4296 nt
Organism: Gopherus flavomarginatus (Mexican gopher tortoise)
Lineage: Eukaryota; Metazoa; Chordata; Testudines; Testudinidae
Exons: 2
Source: RefSeq, a predicted model, not a curated record
GGAAGAAUGAGGAGCCAGGGUGGGGGGAGAGGGGAAAGCACAGAGGCUGGGAAGGGGGAGUCCAGCUUCAUCCCCCCUCUCUGAUCUCUCCCCUUAAUCUUUCUCCUCUCCAACGCCUCUUUCCAGCUCCCCCUGUGUCUCCCUAGCUCUUUCCGUCUCCUCAGGAGAGGGCACUAUGGGACCGGCCUCACCAGAGAGUGCACCCAGUUAAGCACCCCAUGCAGAGCCCCCUGAAGUGUCCAGGCCUUGGAGUAUUGCACUGAAGUGUCCAGAGAAGUGUCCAGUGAUGUCCCAAGAGAAGAAUGAAUUCGAGAAAUUAACUUCAAAGGCACUUUAGGAGAAACAGGCCCCUGUCUAGAAGACACUAAUUGGCACACCAUUGCUACUCCAGUCAUGUCUUUUAUAAACCCAGUAGCAGCCCCACUGAGAGAGGAGGAAGAAGACUGGCAGUGGGAACAACAACAGCACAUAAGUGUUAAAACUUUUAACUCCAGUGGUUCAGAUACCAAACAUUGCCACACAUGAAUGUUACCGCCUACCUGCCAUUGCUCCCCCAGUAAGGGUCCCUGAUCAUCUAAAAAUCAUAGAGUUAUUAAUAAUGUGCAAAUAAGCAAAAUAUCAUCAAUGGAAGUCACCUCCCAUUUGCUCUAGAGAAAGCCCUAAUUCUCCAAAUAGGUGUGUUACUCAAUGCUAAUAUUGGAAAGAAGCGAGCAUUGUUCAAAGAAGCAAGCAUAUUUUGAAGAAUAUAUACUGAGGGCCUGGUCCUGACCCCAUUGAGGUAAACAGCUAUCUUAUUAUUAAAUUAAUAGUAGCAGGAGCAAUUCCUAAUUAUGUAAAAAAUGUAUUUUUGCUAUUGACCAAAACAACUCUCAAUUACACAUUUAUAUUAAAAUUAUUUCAUUUGUAAAAAAGGACAUUUUUCAGGAAAAGUUUAGCAUUUUCUCAAAAAGAAUUACUUUUAGGACCUUUACUCUCUAUAAUGUAAAUAUAUUCUCAGAAUAAGUAUCAUAAAAACCUCUUAGGGAAAGUAGUUAUUGUUCCACAGACAGCAGGCAUAUUAGCCUCCUCAAAAAAUUUAAUAACAGCCCUUUGCAAUUUUUUUCUUUCAAAGUACUACACUUGAAAUCCUGAUUACACUGAAGUCAAUGGGAAUUUUUCCACUGAUUUCAAUGCAGCCAGGAUUUUGCCCCAACUGAUUGGCUCAUGUUACAUAAGACAUACAGAAACAAUAAUUCACUCUGUGGGCUAAGGAAGUCACCAAAAGUGUGGGUAUGGUCAGGAAAAAAUUGGAAACAAAACCUUACUAGAAGGAUCUGCUCAGUAUGUACACAAAAAAUCAUGUCUACUUACUUUUUGGAUGAAUAGUUUUUUACUACUAUUUAGUUUUGUUAGCAUGGCAGAGCCAAUGCAGAGAGACAGACGAGAGAGACAGCUUUUUUUUCUGACUUGGGCAUCAUCAACAAAAUUAACUUAGUUCUGAUUUCAGAAACUCCAUUACUUGUCAUAUGAAGUCAGAAAAGCACGGUUCGAUGUUAAGAUCCCACUUUAAAUAUGUAUGCCUAGGAAUUGCUUUAGAAAAAUCUCUUGGAGUAUUUGUAAAAUGAGAAAAUUUGAUCUGAUAGCCAAAGAAGGGAAAUAAUAAAGAUAGAAACUUACAAUGCUAUUUUUCCAGAGUCACUUUUCAGAGUAGGACCUGACAUCAACAUCUGUGCUUCAACUUCCCUAAUUUAAAAAAUUGGGGAGAAAACACACUCAUAUGUUGUGAGAAUUGAUUAGUUAUUUUUUAUAUAAUUUUUAAAUAUGCUUCAAAUAAACUGUAGCUACCAAUUUUGAUAACACCACCAUAUCAAGCAUAUCCUUUUAUAAUAAUGUUAGCUUCCCACAGUAAACGUAAGAAUAUAUAUUCAGAGUUGCUAUUGCUUUUUCACUGAGAAAUCCCUGUGUUUGAGAAAGAACAAUUUGUAUUAUCUUUUGGGGAAAGUACACAAUUAAGAAUAGAUGAGAAGUAGAGAGCAGCGUUGCACUGCUCUCUAGUGCCAUCUGCUGCUCCAGAAGGAGUAAUACAUGGAGCCUAAUUCUGAUCCCAUUAAAGUCAAUGGUUGUUUAAAUGUUCAUUUGUGUUCAAACAUUAAUGUUUACAGCACAAUUGCCAGGACCAGGAGAGUCUAGCCUGGAGGCAGAAAUCUAAAUCUGAAGCAAUUCAGUACCAUCUCAGUAUGUGUUCGUGAGCAGCAUUUGAACCUGUGAUUUCCAUUGUAGCAGAUGCUAUUGAACAUUCAAGGUUUUCUGCUUGUUCCCAAAGAAAACCCUGGCUUUUUGCUGUGUUUGAUUCAAGAUACUGGAAAACACUGGAAAACAGCAGGCUAAAUUCCUCCCAGAUGAAAUCCUGUUGACUGUAGGGGAAUUAAACCAGGGGUGAAUUUGUCCUGAAGACAGGGGAUGUGAAUCUGGUAGCAGAUGGGUUAUAAUGAAUAACUAAUAAUAAUGAAAUUUAUUUGAAACAGGCAUCAUGGAAAAACUUUGACCUGGUACCAUUAGCAAAACUGCGGUCAAAAGAAGGAGGAAAAUAAUUUUUGCUUAGGAGAGGGUGAUCCAGGCCAAAGUGAGUCAAUUGCAGAACAGAACAAUACUUUGGAGCCUCCACAGCCACUACAAAACACUGCACAAAUCUAAAAUUUAUUAUUAAUAGUAGUAGUAGUACUAUUUGUUAUUCCUUCAUGAGGUGCUAUGUAUCAGUGAAGAGACAUGGAUCUGGAAGCAAAAUUGUGUAACUGUUUCAUACAGAGGUGACACUAAGUAUAUUUUUCAAUAAAUAAAUUGACCAGCCAUCACAAACACAGUAAAUGAUGAAUAAUAAGGAAACCACUAUUGGAUAUUGAUAUGCAUCCUUGUACAGAUUUGCUGAACAUGUACUUUGUGGUUCCAGAAUCACUAAAAAGUGCUACCUUUGCAGAAUGUGACUCUCAGUAGACAUUCCAUGCACUGUGGAUCUGACAUAGGAACAGAGGAAUUGUCAUGCUGAACCAGGCCAAUGUCCAAAUAGUCCAAUAUCCUAGUAACCCGUCUCUGACCGUGGCCAGCACCAGGAUUCAGAAGAAGGUUUAAGAACCUUGCAGUAUGCAUAUAUUGAGUAAUAUGCCCCCCCAUAUUAGGGUUCACCCUGAUCUCUAAUAGAGAUUGGCUUAAGCCCUGAGACAUCUGAUUUAAUAUCCUUUCCACAAACUUUUUAUCAUUAAUGAUGAUAAUCCUGGAUUUUCUUGAGCUCCAUAUAAAUGUCCAAUCCCUUUCUCAAUCUUGUUAAAUUCUUCUCCUCAACGACUUUCUGUGACAAUGAGUUUCACAGUUUAAUUACAUGUUGUCUGAAAAAGUAUUUCCUUUUAUUGGUUUUGAAUUUUCCACCGUUUAAUUUUAUUAAAUGUUCCGUGGUUCUUUUGUUAUGAAACAGGAAGAAUAAAAGUUCUCAGUCUGAUUUCUACCAUUAAUUAUUUUAUAUACUUUUCUCAUAGCUCCUCUUAGUUAUCUCAUAUCUAAGGUAAACAAUGCCAAUAUUUUUUCUCUCCUUUAACUGGAGGCUUUUCCAUGUCCAUGAUCAUUCUUGUCACCCUUCUCAGAACCCCUUUGAUUUCUGCAAUAUCCUUUUAAAUAUGGAGUGAUCAGUACUGCACACAGUAUUCCAGGUGGGGCUGCAUCAUCGAUUUAUAUAAAGGAAUGAUAAUAUUCUCAGCAUUAUUCACCAUCCUAUUCCUUAUAUUGUUUGCUUUUCUGACUGCAGCUAUAUAGAGAGCAGAGGUCUUCAUUGCACUGUCUACAGUGACAUCCAUGUCCCUUUCUUAAAUUAAUAGUUAAUUUAGAACCCUAUGUGGUGUUUGAGUAGUUUAAUUCUUUCCCCUCAAAUGUACAUUAUUUUGCAUUUAUCAACAGUGAAAUUCAUUUUACAUCAUGUUGCCUAUUUGUUUUGUUUGUUUAGGACUUUUUGAAGUUCCUUGCAGCCCUCUCUGCUCCUGAGUAACCUAAAUAACUUUGGGUCCUCUAUAAAUUUUCCUACUUCACUACUCACCCUGCUUCUGAGAUCAUUAAUAAAUAUAUUAAACAACACAGGACCUAGUCUGGAACCUUGAGACACUCAGCAGUUAACCUUUUGUUAUAAUGAAAAUUUACCAUUUAAUUCCACUCUGCUUUCUGUCUUAUAGUCAUUUUUUGUUUCAUGACAAUAUUGUGCCUUUCAUCUAAUGAAGCCUCCUAUGGGAGAACCUUGUCAAAGGCCUUGUUGAAGUCUAAAUAAAUUAUGUAAACCGG